UACAGAGGGUGCGAGCGUUGUCCGGAAUCACUGGGCGUAAAGGGCGCGUAGGCGGUCUCUUAAGCGUGUGGUGAAAGCCCGGGGCUCAACUCCGGGUCGGCCGUGCGAACUGGGGGACUGGAGCUUGUCAGAGGCAGGCGGAAUUCCGGGUGUAGCGGUGGAAUGCGUAGAGAUCCGGAAGAACACCGGUGGCGAAGGCGGCCUGCUGGGACAGUGCUGACACUGAGGCGCGACAGCGUGGGGAGCAAACAGG
This 253-nucleotide ribosomal RNA is filed under the name uncultured bacterium. RNAcentral's name for it is "partial 16S ribosomal RNA". It matches the Rfam family "Bacterial small subunit ribosomal RNA", at positions 524 to 776 of the family's 1533-position model. The record is from RNAcentral.